This 914-nucleotide unclassified non-coding RNA is filed under the name Hevea brasiliensis (rubber tree). Lineage: Eukaryota; Viridiplantae; Streptophyta; Magnoliopsida; Malpighiales; Euphorbiaceae. The record is from RNAcentral.
UUGGAUGUCAUUGAUGUUCAUCAUGUAAGAACCUUCAUUAGCAUGUAUCAAAAACUUUUCCCGGUGAAUUAUUUUAAUUUGUCACAUUGAAUUUUGUACAGUGUUGUAGUGUGCCAAAUGCUUGCUUUUCUUGAUGUGACUUUUAAAAUAAUAAUAAUAAAAUUCUUGCUUCUGAUUAGAAGCUGUCCUUGUAUAUCAUUGAGUUAAUUCAUGGUACUUCAAAAUAUUUAAAGAAGCCAAGUCCUCAGAAGCCAAUAUUUUUUUUUCUCUUUUAACGUUUUAUCCAUGGAGUGGCCACUUAGCCUAGGUGGUUAAGCCUUGUUAGAGCAACCGGGUUCAGAAAUUGUUCUGAAGUUGAUUCACUGACAUAUAAGCACCACACAUCUAGUAUGUUCACAUAAUUAACUUGCGAGAAAUUUGCUGUAAAAUUCUUUUCGUUUCAUUAGUCUAGCUAUCUCUAUCUAUAUGAUUCAAAGUCAAGGAGUUAUCAGUUAGAAUCCUUGUGUAUUUCUCGUGAGGGAUUACCUGUGGUGUUUUGCCUAUAGUUCUCCACAUGAUACCUGAGGUAGUUUCUAGCUGGGUCAUUGAUUUAUUGUAUUAAUAUUUUGUCAACCAGACUAUGCUGAUAUGGUACAGAGAAUUUAGAAGAAUUUGUAUUGUGACACAAGAAACUAGAUUCUAUGUUUGUAUGUGUCAUAUUAUUUUCAUCCUUAUCUGGUAGCUUUAGUCACUGAGAACUGGCGGAUAGUUUGGGUGGACUUAUAAAUGUGUAUUAACAGAUACAUAUUUAUGGCACAUCUCUUGGGGGUUUCUUAGCACAAGCUUUUGCACAGCAUCGUCCAAGACAAGUGAGAUCAUUGAUACUGUCAAAUACAUUCUUGGAGACGCAUAGUUUUGCAGCUGCAAUGCCAUGG